RNAcentral lists this long non-coding RNA (1880 nucleotides) under Struthio camelus australis. RNAcentral's name for it is "lncRNA (ENSSCUG00000016986.1)". The record is from RNAcentral. Lineage: Eukaryota; Metazoa; Chordata; Aves; Struthioniformes; Struthionidae.
CUUAAGCAAUGUGUCUGUGGGAGUCUGUCGAGGCGGUGGCCUCAGCAGGUCUCCUGGCCUUACCAACUCACGCCCACUGUAGGGAUGAGCCGCUAGCAGCAGCUAGCACAUCCCUUCCAAACGUGAGCGGGUCCUGCCCCAGGCACGUGGAGGUGCCCCUGCUGCUGCACGGGGUGCAGCCAACGUGUGGGAGCAGGGCCUGGGGUCUUGGAUGACAUGCUGGGCACAACCAUGGGGGCACUGGCAUGGGGAAGGGGGAAGCAGUGGGCUGACAGCUUCCUAGACUGGUGGUCUGACCCAGCGCCCAGGAUAGACCGGAGUUACAUAUGCAUGCACCUCUGUUAGUCUGAAGCCCUUCUGCCUGCAUGAAUUCAACUUUCCCCCUUGGAUAACAUCGCCUCUCUUAAUUUUAAUUUUGCUGAAAGGAAGCAGGUAGUGCUUUGGCAGUUCACAAGAGAGCCCAGCAUCUCUCUGAGCCUUCAGCAGCCUGUUUCCGGCCAUGGUUUGAACAGGUUUCUAUAUUAGUCGCUGUGUUUCCUGUGAGGCCAUUUCUGAUAAGCUCUGCAUUUACUGUCCUGUGUUCUUCUCUUGCCUCGGCUGUGCCUCAGAGGGGCUGGGUAUUUAUUGACGGUGCCAUGCAGAUGGAGGAGGGCCACGGUGCCGUUAUCUGGGCAGAAUCUCAGGUGGGGAGCAGGCCGUGCACAGCCAACCCAGAGACAUGCAACCACGGCUAUUUUGGCUCGAACCACUCAGCAACAGGAUGCCGAUCAGGACCAGCAUUAGGGAGGGCUAUAAGAAAACAGGCCAAGCAUAUGCCAUAUGGACUCCAAGUACUGCCCCGGCUUCUGGACAUUCCUGGCUCGGUAGUGUCGCUGUGUUUCCUGACACUCUCCAUGAGUUUUUCUUCCACAAAUUUUCUUCCUAUGGCUUUUCAAUCUCUGUAAACGUUGAGCAUCUGCAGGGUCCCCCUGCAUCAGCAAGGGGUUCCUCUGGUUAACCCUUGGUGCCUGCAAUUUGGGCUUUCAGAUCUGGAACAGGUGCGAGGGAACUCAUCCCAGCCAAUAGCCACUGCAAUCGCACCCUCUGUGCCCGUAUAAGAAAACCGCCAGACACAAAAGCCACCCAUCCCUCCAUAUAAUUUGGAAGGGGGGAGUCCCAGCUACUGCUGACACUGAAUAACACGAAUUUUCACUGCUGUUUUAAAGCUCAAAUAGGGACCACUGUUAUAUUCAUAGAAAUCAGUGGGAGAUUUGUCAUUCAUAGUCUGAUCGUAUGAGUCUAACAAUAUGUAUAAAUAGGCUAUCGUCACACUUAUAUAACACUGUCUUAUUUAUGAUCUUAAGCCUAAGGGAGAGACAAUUCUUCCCCAGUCCUUUCUUCCUGGCAGAAAAACGUCAUUCAAAGCCCAGCUUCAAUCCUAUUGCAGAGGCCAGAUGCUUAACUAAACACUGAGAAAUUUCAAGUGCGGCAUUUCUCUUUCAACUUGCAAGAAGAAGGCAGCUGCUGGGAUCUGCGUGCCUGUGAUUAAAUAUAGCGCUCGAGCCAGAGAGCCUUCAGGAACGACCUCUGCCUUCUCCACCACCUGGGAGCCAAUGCGUGUCAGAGGCAAAAUGUCCCACGUUACCCUGGACAGAGAGCUCACGUCCCUUUUGGGUUUCAUCUGAGCAGUUUCCAAAGCUGACCACUUCCAAUGAGUACGUCUCACAGCAAACCGAGAGGAGGGGAUCAACUUGCUUCCAGGGUUUCACUUCUCUGGCUCUGCAGCAUCUCCACAAUCUGUGGCCAAAAAUAUUAGUUUAAUCCCCACGGUGAGCACUUGAAAAUUCAGGAUUAUAGUUCCCCGGGCUUGUCUUAUCCACCUCACUUGUACGGCGGCUUUA